This 30-nucleotide non-coding RNA is filed under the name Mus musculus (house mouse). The record is from RNAcentral. Lineage: Eukaryota; Metazoa; Chordata; Mammalia; Rodentia; Muridae.
GAAUUUCCCAUUUCAUGAACUACUUCAGAC